RNAcentral lists this unclassified non-coding RNA (953 nucleotides) under Leishmania donovani. Its description in RNAcentral is "gene:unknown". The record is from RNAcentral. Lineage: Eukaryota; Euglenozoa; Kinetoplastea; Trypanosomatida; Trypanosomatidae.
CUCCACUCCUCUUCGCGCGGUCUGUGCGCGAGGUCCACCGCUGGCCAUGCACCGCGUAUGCCUGUGACUCCCUUGCGUAACGCGGAGGGCGAUAAGCCGAUUGCAGCGCACCGGUGGGGUGUGCGUGCAGGAGCCUCUGUGUGAGUGAGUGUGUGUGGGUGGGUGUCCCUCUUUCUCUGUGUCUUCUACAUUGUUCCUCUCUCUUUCUUUGGUGUUUUCGGGAUGCCGAUGUCGUCGUUGCCGUCCAUGGUGCUCGAUGCCGGAUCUGCUGGAUGCGCGUGCGGUCGUCAUCGCUGUCGGUUGUGGGGCGGAGGAUGGGUGCUUGUAUUCGCGUAAGAGGUUCCCUCAUAGCAGUGCUCCUUUUUCUCUGUGAGUGGUCGUGGUGGUGGUUGGUCCCGCACGUGCUCGCCCUCUGGCCCCACCCCGGCCCUCUCACGCGGUGCACCCUUCACGAGCACACCCGCACGCACCAGAGGGCAGCAUGGCUGCGUGCGUCUGUAAUGUGUGGCGGGUUGGGGACCGGCGUGCCUUCCUUCUUGCGCCCUCAGCACCCCCUCAUAUAGAUAUCUAUAUGAGGGGGUGUGCAUGGAGAAAGUGUCUCUUGCACCUCCUCGACAGACGUGCACACGCAUACACGCGAGCCGUGCGGUGCGUCUGUGUAGACCUGUGUGGGUGGGUGGGUGUGGGCGAAGCUCAAGCGUGCAAGGGGUGAGUGCGUGCCGCUGACCUUGUGAGCGGAAGUCGAUCAACGAUCAGACAAUGUGGGCCACGGAUGAUGACGUACACCUGACGAGAAGGUGUUGAGGGGGGUGGAGUUGGAACGACGAUGCCCGGGGCCGAAGGCGGAGGUAUCGGACUGUGCGUUGCACAGUGCCACAUGAGUGCGCAAGUGCAUAAGACCUGGAACGCUCCCCUCCCCCUUCACGCCCUCUGUUCUUUCCGUCUUCGCACAG